AGAGUUUGAUCAUGGCUCAGAGCGAACGCUGGCGGCAGGCUUAACACAUGCAAGUCGAGCGGUAACAGGUGUAGCAAUACAUGCUGACGAGCGGCGAACGGGUGAGUAAUGCUUCGGAAUCUUCCUCGUAGUGGGGAAUAACCUGGGGAAACUCAGGCUAAUACCGCAUACGAACUACGGUUGAAAGCAGGGGAUCGCAAGACCUUGCGCUAUGAGAUGAGCCGAAGUCGGAUUAGCUAGUUGGUGGGGUAACGGCCCACCAAGGCGACGAUCCGUAGCUGGUCUGAGAGGACGACCAGCCACACUGGGACUGAGACACGGCCCAGACUCCUACGGGAGGCAGCAGUGGGGAAUAUUGGACAAUGGGCGAAAGCCUGAUCCAGCGACGCCGCGUGUGUGAAGAAGGCCUGCGGGUUGUAAAGCACUUUUAGUGGGGAUGAAAAGCCGAAGGUUAAUACCUUUCGGUCUUGACCUAACCCAAAGAAAAAGCACCGGCUAACUCUGUGCCAGCAGCCGCGGUAAUACAGAGGGUGCAAGCGUUAAUCGGAAUUACUGGGCGUAAAGCGUGCGUAGUCGGUUAUUCAAGUCGGGUGUGAAAGCCCCGGGCUCAACCUGGGAAUUGCAUUCGAUACUGUUUAGCUAGAGUUCGGCAGAGGGAAGUGGAAUUUCGGGUGUAGCGGUGAAAUGCGUAGAUAUCCGAAGGAACAUCAGUGGCGAAAGCGACUUCCUGGACCAGAACUGACGAUCAGGCACGAAAGCGUGGGGAGCAAACAGGAUUAGAUACCCUAGUAGUCC
This 795-nucleotide ribosomal RNA is filed under the name uncultured bacterium. RNAcentral describes it as "bacterial SSU rRNA". It matches the Rfam family "Bacterial small subunit ribosomal RNA", at positions 8 to 796 of the family's 1533-position model. The record is from RNAcentral.